CUUUUUCCCAGUAGCUCCCCUCAACCUACUACCUUGAUGCUGCGCAUGAGGAAAGUGGUUUUCAAGAAGAGUAGAGUGAUGCCUACCAUCGGUGAUGGUGGUGGGGCAGUCGCACCGUCAAGUUCUUCCUUAGCAACGGUUCCACAAGGUGCCACCAGGGUCGAUGUCCUAGGUUUGUCUCUCUUGACAUCUCCAAUUAGCUCUGUCGUGAAUCCGACAAGGGCAGCUGAUGCUCACCCUUUUUCUUUUUUACAAUGAGCCCGGGGGUUGCCUUCAUCAACACAGUGGAGGCUACGACCCUAGGGGGAUAGUGAUCCUCCUUGCUAAUGGGGAGCCUCGGACCAAGCUUUCGGGCCUUGGUGGCCGGCUAGGCGUCCAGCUCACUUCAGACUGCUCUGUUGAAGGCGACAACCCUCUAGCCUUUUGCAGCCUUUUGCAGGGAGCUGAACAAAGGGAGCGAUGUGAAUGAGAAGGCGUUGUAGAAAGGCCUUGAUUGGCUUUCAACAGCGCGCCAAAAGCUAGCAUCGCUCAUAGGGACACUGGCGGGUAGGUCCCGCCUUCUUCUUGACCAAAGGGAGGCAUGAGAGCGUUCUGCCAGUAAUCUUAUCGCGGCGAAAAGCGAGGCCGUCGAUGCCCACGCCCGCAUCGUGUCAAUCCAAAACGAUUAUGAUACCUUGGUUGGGGUAGCGAGGAGGGAUGCAGAAUCGGCGACGCUUGUGUGUCUUGAGAGCAUGAAAGCAAACUCCCACCUCUGUAUCCUAUAGCGAGGGAAAGAGGUCACCGAGGCUCGAGUCGCGGCCUUGGAGGAGCUGGGCAGUCAAACUAAGAAGGAGGAGAAUCUCCUAGCCUCUUUGCAAGGGGGAAUUCGACGCCGCCGAGGGGAACUUUGUCGAGGUGCAAAGCCACCUGAAGGAGCUGGAAAAGGAGAGGCAUCUCCUGCUAGAGGUGGUGAGCGCCAUGCAUGGGCGCUUUGGAGAACUUCCUUUGCCUGGGUCUGAGUCAAUUGUCUCCCGCUUUGAGGGCCUCACUAGCUAGCUACGUGAGAUUGAGAAGGAAUCCUUCUGCCAAGGGAUCUGCCAGGCCUUUGCCGUCGUGACAUCUCACUUUGAAGGGGGGUCGAGCUAGAAGACGUAAGCGAAGGCUACUGUGAUGCUUGGAGUGAUUUGGAUUUCGUCGGCAUGGUGAAGGCCGUCAAGCCCUUUUCCUAGAAGCUAGGUGCCUCCCUGCUCGGCAACACACCGCAUGGGGGGUCAAGGUGGACCUGCACCUUUGUGACAACUGUGGGAAAAGAAGGGGCCUUCCUUUCUCGAACACCUGUGCUUCCUGAUGCCUUGAGAACACUCUUCUCUUUGAACAAACCUAGGACUAAAAAACGGUUUGCCAGAGCCGUACGCGCGACUAGUAGCUCAUAACAGUGACACCUUGCACCCACAGUCUCGAUGCUGUGGCAGGCCACCACAUCACCGGUAGGAGGCGGGGGCUGGUUCAAGGCAGCCACCGAUGGGUGGGCUAGUGCCACAUGCGAGGGCACAUGGAGAGGCACUGAUGGCGCUCGAAUGACGUGCAGGCUGAAGUGCAGGCGUGCGAUGGGUGGCGGCAACCAGCUAGGAUUCAGAACUUGGGAUGCAAUGCUCUGUUAGACUGUGUCCAGCAAUUCAGCCAUAUGGUCACCCAAAACACUGUUUUGCACUUGAGGAAGUUUUCUAGCUUCCUUGUGGACAAGGAAACGGCUCCUAGGCCUCUUGGGGCUAUAAAAAGAGCCCCUAGGUGCCAUCUCCUAAUACCCAAGCAUCACAAGUACAUACUACAACUCCGAGACUCUACGACCAUGUUGUUCAGUGAUUUGAGAUAGAUUUGAGCGCAUUUCUGAGUUGUUACUCUGUCGUUUUGUUGUUGUGCUCUUGUCUUUUAUAUUUUGCAUGUUGUUUCUGUGUUGUGUACUUGUGUGUGAUCUAACUCCCUCCACUACUCUGAUUUUGGAUUGUGAUAAUCUUGUGUAAGGCGUUAGAGACUCCAACUUGUGGAGAUUCCUCACAAACGGGUUGAGAUAUAAGGAAGAAUACUGUGACACUCAAAUUUGAUCUUUGGAACACUUGAGAGGGGUUGAGUGCAACCCUU
Long non-coding RNA from Zea mays, 2118 nucleotides. RefSeq lists it as uncharacterized. The record is from RefSeq and is a predicted model, not a curated record. The transcript has 3 exons. NCBI's taxonomy places the organism in Eukaryota, Viridiplantae, Streptophyta, Magnoliopsida, Poales, Poaceae.